Non-coding RNA from Picea glauca (white spruce), 121 nucleotides. The record is from Rfam. NCBI's taxonomy places the organism in Eukaryota, Viridiplantae, Streptophyta, Pinopsida, Pinales, Pinaceae.
ACAUGCCUACAACAUAGCAUUAAUACAUCGGAUCCCAUUAGAACUCUGCAGUUAAUCACGAUUAGGCUAGAGUAGUACAGGGAUGGGUGACCACUCGAGAAGUCCUAGUAUUUUACAUGCC